AAUAUUGGACAAUGGGCGCAAGCCUGAUCCAGCCAUGCCGCGUGAGUGAAGAAGGCCUUCGGGUUGUAAAGCUCUUUUGUCCGGAAAGAAAAACUCUCGGUUAAUACCCGGGGGUUCUUACGGUACCGGAAGAAUAAGCACCGGCUAACUUCGUGCCCGCAGCCGCGGUCAUACGUAGGGUCCAAGCGUUAUCCGGAAUUACUGGGCGUAAAGAGUUGCGUAGGUGGCAUAGUAAGCGAGUAGUGAAAGCGUGUGGCUCAACCAUACAUCCAUUACUUGAACUGCUAAGCUAGAGAACGAGAGAGGUAGAUGGAAUUCCUGAUGUAGGGGUAAUAUCCGUAGAUAUCAGGAGGAACACCGAUGGCGUAGGCAGUCUACUGGCUCGUUUCUGACACUAAGGCACGAAAGCGUGGGGAGCAAAC
This 422-nucleotide ribosomal RNA is filed under the name uncultured bacterium. RNAcentral's name for it is "bacterial SSU rRNA". It matches the Rfam family "Bacterial small subunit ribosomal RNA", at positions 360 to 773 of the family's 1533-position model. The record is from RNAcentral.